CGUGCAAUGUAUAUGGAAUACACCAGGGCCAGUAGAGAAUUUAAAAACAACUUUACUUCCUGUCUCAGGUAAACUCAGGGUGAAAAACACAAAUAUGUUUUUAAAGGGGACUGUGUCAUAUAUAUAUCCAGCAGCACUUUGUUCUCCCACCAUAGAGGUGGACAGAAGGCUCACAGGCAGUCCACCAUAGAGGUGGACAGAAGGCUCACAGGCAGUCCACCAUAGAGGUGGAUAGAAGGCUCACAGGCAGUCCACCAUAGAGGUGGAUAGAAGGCUCACAGGCAGUCCACCAUAGAGGUGGAUAGAAGGCUCACAGGCAGCGCCGUUGAGGGUUUUCAACACUUUAAAGUAGUCAACUGGGUGGGGACUUACUACUGAUUGAUUGAUUGACUGAGGAAAAAACGAGCACCGAGUACAACCCAGUGGAUAACACGUUAAAGCGAAACUCACUCGUCUCUAACGUGGUCCCUUAUGCGUUUAGGAAGGAUCACAGAAUUCCAUCCAGGUCAGCAGGAGGGGUCAACCAGUGAAUUAUAUGGAGCUGACCUUCCAUAACUACAGCUGGCAGUAAAUCACCAAUCUUGGCUUUGUACACUAUCAAAGUAGGUGGUGGUAUGUACCUUCUGGAGUUGAUUUUCUACCUUCCAAUACACUUAUAGAAGUAGAAUAGACAUAGAAGAGACAUUACUUUAAAAGAUAGCCCUCAAUGUUGCUGCCUAUGCCCUGUCACAGAAGACAGCAUUGCAAAGGAUAGGAGGUGUGCCUUUACAUUCCUAUGGAGUUAGCUUAUGUAGCCUCUUCCUUCACCUCUACCUCAACUUCUCGCUCUUCUGCCUUAAUGUGUCUCUGUUCGCCCUCCUCCUCUUUGACAAUCACAUUGAGAGUACAUGUAGGUUUCUCUCCAAUGUGUCUUAACUGAUGAUUCCUUAUGUUUGUUGCCCAACUGAAACUCUUCCCACAAAGUGUGCAGUGGUAAGGCUUCUCCCCUGUAUGUACUCUUUGAUGUUCCUUAAGUACUGAAUAAUAAUUGAAGCUUUUCCCACAUUGGGUACAGUGGUAAGGUUUCUCUCCACUAUGUACUCUCUCGUGUCCCGUAAGUUUUACUUUCUCACUGAAACUCUUCCCACAUUGUGAGCAGUGGUAAGGCUUGUGAUUUUUCUGAUGAGUCUUCAGGUUUCCUAACUGACUGAAACUCUUCCCACAAAGAGAGCAGUGGUAAGGCUUCUCCCCAGUAUGUACUCUUUGAUGGUCCUUAAGUCUUCCUGAAUGAUUGAAGCUCUUCUCACACUGGGAGCAGGGGUAAGGAUUCUCUCCAAUGUGCAUUCUCUGGUGAGCCUUUAGCUUGCUUGGUGUCUGAAAACUCUUCCCACAUUGACGGCAAAGGUAAGUCUUAUUUAUUUUGGGAGUUUGUUGGUGUGAUUUGUGGCGAGUUGGAUAAAUAAAACUGUCGCUACAGCAGGGUUGGGGCUUCUGUCUGCGGUUUCCUGAUGCUGUGGGACUGGGCUUGCUGUCUGAGUCUGGGUCGGAGCUCUUUCCUGUGA
This is a long non-coding RNA of Oncorhynchus tshawytscha (Chinook salmon), 1541 nucleotides long. The record is from Ensembl. NCBI's taxonomy places the organism in Eukaryota, Metazoa, Chordata, Actinopteri, Salmoniformes, Salmonidae.